This 307-nucleotide ribosomal RNA is filed under the name uncultured bacterium. Its description in RNAcentral is "bacterial SSU rRNA". It matches the Rfam family "Bacterial small subunit ribosomal RNA", at positions 28 to 334 of the family's 1533-position model. The record is from RNAcentral.
GAUGAACGCUGGCGGCGUGCUUAACACAUGCAAGUCGAACGGGCGGAGGGAGCUUGCUCCCGAAGCUAGUGGCGGACGGGUGAGUAACGCGUGGGUAACCUGCCUCAUACAGGGGGAUAACAGUGAGAAAUCACUGCUAAUACCGCAUAUGCGCACAGUACCGCAUGGUACAGUGUGGAAAACUCCGGUGGUAUGAGAUGGACCCGCGUUGGAUUAGCUAGUUGGUAGGGUAGUGGCCUACCAAGGCGACGAUCCAUAGCCGGCCUGAGAGGGUGGACGGCCACAUUGGGACUGAGACACGGCCCAG